Molecule: ribosomal RNA, 313 nt
Filed under: Listeria monocytogenes
Lineage: Bacteria; Bacillati; Bacillota; Bacilli; Caryophanales; Listeriaceae
Description: bacterial SSU rRNA
Rfam family: Bacterial small subunit ribosomal RNA
Source: RNAcentral
UUUAAAGAGAGUUUGAUCCUGGCUCAGGACGAACGCUGGCGGCGUGCCUAAUACAUGCAAGUCGAACGAACGGAGGAAGAGCUUGCUCUUCCAAUGUUAGUGGCGGACGGGUGAGUAACACGUGGGCAACCUGCCUGUAAGUUGGGGAUAACUCCGGGAAACCGGGGCUAAUACCGAAUGAUAAAGUGUGGCGCAUGCCACGCUUUUGAAAGAUGGUUUCGGCUAUCGCUUACAGAUGGGCCCGCGGUGCAUUAGCUAGUUGGUAGGGUAAUGGCCUACCAAGGCAACGAUGCAUAGCCGACCUGAGAGGGUG